This 77-nucleotide transfer RNA is filed under the name Yersinia pekkanenii. RNAcentral describes it as "tRNA-Arg(tct)". It matches the Rfam family "tRNA". Rfam says of the family: Transfer RNA (tRNA) molecules are approximately 80 nucleotides in length. The record is from RNAcentral. Lineage: Bacteria; Pseudomonadati; Pseudomonadota; Gammaproteobacteria; Enterobacterales; Yersiniaceae.
CCGCCAUUAGCUCAUCCGGAAAGAGCAACAGCUUUCUAAGCUGAAGGUACGUGGUUCAAGUCCUCGAUGGCGGACCA